Molecule: ribosomal RNA, 492 nt
Filed under: uncultured bacterium
Lineage: Bacteria
Description: bacterial SSU rRNA
Rfam family: Bacterial small subunit ribosomal RNA
Source: RNAcentral
CAGCCGCGGUAACACAUGCAAGUCGAGGGGUAGCAGGAUGUAGCAAUACAUUGCUGACGACCGGCAGACGGGUGAGUAACGCGUAUGCAAUCUGCCUUAUACAGGAAGAUAACCCGGAGAAAUCCGGACUAAUAUUCCAUAGAUUAUUUGAGUGGCAUCAUUUGGAUAAUAAAGAUUUAUUGGUAUAAGAUGAGCACGCGUAUCAUUAGAUAGUUGGUGAGGUAACGGCUCACCAAGUCGACGAUGAUUAGGGAUUCUGAGAGGAUUUUCCCCCACACCGGGACUGAGACACGGCCCGGACUCCUACGGGAGGCAGCAGUGAGGAAUAUUGGUCAAUGGACGCAAGUCUGAACCAGCCAUGCCGCGUGCAGGUAACGGCCCUACGGGUCUUAAACUGCUUUUGUAACAGAACAAUAAGUUCCACGAGUGGGACGAUGAGAGUAUGUUAGGAAUAAGCAUCGGCUAACUCCGUGCCAGCCGCCGCGGUAAGAC